AAACUAUGAUCACUCGCUGUGGCAAUACAUCGUCAGCGGCUGAGCGAAAGCAUUAAGUGAUCCACCGGGGGAUUACGAUCGCAAGAUUGAAACUCAAAGGAAUUGACGGGGGCCCGCACAAGCGGAGGAACAUGUGGUUUAAUUCGAUGAUACGCGAGGAACCUUACCUGGGCUUAAAUGCAGAUCGACGUUCCGGGAAACCGGAAUUCCUUCGGGCGAACUGCAAGGUGCUGCAUGGCUGUCGUCAGCUCGUGCCGUGAGGUGUCGGGUUAAGUCCCAUAACGAGCGCAACCCUUACCGUUAGUUGCCAGCGGGUAAUGCCGGGGACUCUAACGAAACUGCCGGUGUAAACCGUGAGGAAGGUGGGGAUGACGUCAAGUCAGCACGGCCCUUACGUCCAGGGCUACGCACGUGUUACAAUGGUCGGUACAAAGGGCAGCUACCAGGCAACUGGAUGCUAAUCUCGAAAACCGAUCUCAGUUCGGAUUGAAGUCUGCAACUCGACUUCAUGAAGCUGGAUUCGCUAGUAAUCGCGCAUCAGCCAUGGCGCGGUGAAUACGUUCCCGGGCCUUGUACACACCGCCCGUCAAGCCAUGGAAGCUUGGGGUACCUGAAGUCCGUAACCGCAAGGAUCGGCCUAGGGUAAAACAAGUAACUGGGGCUAAGACGUAACAAGGUAACCAAGGGCGAA
This 691-nucleotide ribosomal RNA is filed under the name uncultured organism. Its description in RNAcentral is "bacterial SSU rRNA". It matches the Rfam family "Bacterial small subunit ribosomal RNA", at positions 804 to 1510 of the family's 1533-position model. The record is from RNAcentral.